This 474-nucleotide ribosomal RNA is filed under the name uncultured bacterium. RNAcentral's name for it is "bacterial SSU rRNA". It matches the Rfam family "Bacterial small subunit ribosomal RNA", at positions 355 to 825 of the family's 1533-position model. The record is from RNAcentral.
UGGGGAAUAUUGCGCAAUGGGGGAAACCCUGACGCAGCAACGCCGCGUGAGUGACGAAGGCCUUCGGGUCGUAAAGCUCUGUCGGAGGGGGAAGAAACUACCAAUGGCUAACAUCCAUAGGUAUUGACGGUACCCUCAAAGGAAGCACCGGCUAACUCCGUGCCAGCAGCCGCGGUAAUACGGAGGGUGCAAGCGUUGUUCGGAAUUACUGGGCGUAAAGCGCGUGUAGGCGGCUAAUUAUGUCAGGUGUGAAAUCCCCGGGCUUAACCUGGGAAUUGCGCUUGAAACUAUGCGGCUAGAGUGUGGCAGAGGGGGGUGGAAUUCCACGUGUAGCAGUGAAAUGCGUAGAGAUGUGGAGGAACACCGAUGGCGAAGGCAGCCCCCUGGGCCAACACUGACGCUCAGGCACGAAAGCGUGGGGAGCAAACAGGAUUAGAUACCCAUGUAGUCCCUGAGCGGGCUGGCAAGGCGCAU